AUGGUUGCCACAAAGACGGGCGAGCUGAGGGCCCUCUUCUUGUCACUGGACCGGGACGCGGACGGCAGGAUCUCGGCGGCGGAGUUGCGGGGGUGCAUGCGGGCGACGCUGGGCGAGGAUGUGCCCGCAGAGGAGGCCGAGGCGCUGGUGGCGUCGGCGGACGCGGACGGCGACGGGCUCUUGUGCGCGGCCUGGGCGGGCGACGCGGGGGAGGAGGACGACGAGCAGAGGAUCCGGGCGCUGAGGGAGGCGUUCGGGAUGUACGAGAUGGAGGGGCAGGGGUGUAUCACGCCGGCCAGCCUGGGGAGGAUGCUCGGCAGGCUCGGGGCCGAGCGGGGCGCCGGAGAGUGCCGCGCCAUGAUCUGCCGGUUCGACCUCGAUGGCGACGGCGUGCUCAGCUUCGACGAGUUCAAGAUCAUGAUGAGCUAG
Molecule: ribosomal RNA, 429 nt
Filed under: Triticum aestivum (bread wheat)
Lineage: Eukaryota; Viridiplantae; Streptophyta; Magnoliopsida; Poales; Poaceae
Description: partial small subunit ribosomal RNA
Source: RNAcentral